This 293-nucleotide ribosomal RNA is filed under the name Escherichia coli. RNAcentral's name for it is "partial 16S ribosomal RNA". It matches the Rfam family "Bacterial small subunit ribosomal RNA", at positions 325 to 610 of the family's 1533-position model. The record is from RNAcentral. Lineage: Bacteria; Pseudomonadati; Pseudomonadota; Gammaproteobacteria; Enterobacterales; Enterobacteriaceae.
CACGGUCCAGACUCCUACGGGAGGCAGCAGUGGGGAAUAUUGCACAAUGGGCGCAAGCCUGAUGCAGCCAUGCCGCGUGUAUGAAGAAGGCCUUCGGGUUGUAAAGUACUUUCAGCGGGGAGGAAGGGAGUAAAGUUAAUACCUUUGCUCAUUGACGUUACCCGCAGAAGAAGCACCGGCUAACUCCGUGCCAGCAGCCGCGGUAAUACGGAGGGUGCAAGCGUUAAUCGGAAUUACUGGGCGUAAAGCGCACGCAGGCGGUUUGUUAAGUCAGAUGUGAAAUCCCCGGGCUC